AAAUAAGUAAAUAAAAUAACAUUGUAAUGUGUUGUGACACUACAUAAAAGGGAUAUUUUUCAUUUUCUGGACUUUCUUCAGUUUAACAUUAUUGGGAUUUCAUUUGAAUCGAGAUGAGUGAAAACGGGUCAAAUUCAUCAGACCGAUCUGGCACCAAAAGGAAACUAGAAGAUCAUCAUCUAUUCAGCAGAGAGAGUGACGAUGACGACGACAACCUCUCGAUCGGCAGCAGCAGCAAGUACUCGCGCAUGUCCUCCGAUUCCGGAGGCAGCUCGUCGAAAAAACAAAACCACAGCGAGAUUGAGAAACGUCGCCGCGACAAGAUGAACUGCUACAUCUCGGAGCUGUCUCAGCUGAUCCCCAUGUGCCAGUCAAGGAAGCUGGACAAGCUGACCGUGCUGCGGAUGACGGUGCAGCACAUGAAGAUGCUGCGUAACUCCACGCCGUCGGCGGUCGAGGGCCAGUGCAAGCCCGCCUUCGUCACCGACCAGGACAUGAAGAGUCUGAUACUGCAGGCCGCAGACGGGUUCGUGUUCGUGGUCGGCUGCGACCGCGGACGGGUACUCUACGUCUCCAAGUCUGUGGAAAACGUGCUAGACUACACGCAGGACGACUUAAUCGGCCAGAGCCUGUUCGACAUCCUUCACCCGCGCGAUGUUGGCAAGGUAAAAGAACAGCUGGCCUCGUCCGACCUGACGGCCCGCAGUCAGCUGAUCGACUCCAAGACGCUGCUGCCGAUCCCCACCAGUGUUUCCAGCGAGUCCAACAGCCUGUGUCCCGGCUCGAUGCGGUCGUUCUUCUGUCGGAUGAAGUGCGGGCAGGGCGGCGGCGGUGCGGCUGCCAUGGAUGAGUCGGACACGGCGGCCGGGCAGCGGCGACAGCGGCGAUUCUCGGCUGCCGGAGACAAGCGGUUCAAGAUCGUGCACUGCGCCGGCUACCUGAAGGCGUGGGUGCCCUCCUCGGGAGACGUGGAGAAGGAGCCGGAUGAGGAGGGCUGCAACCUCUCCUGUCUGGUGGCCAUCGGCCGGCUGUACUCUCAGAUGGUAACGGCACCGUUUGACGCCGCCAACACGCGGCCGCUCGAGUUCUUCUCGCGGCACACCACCGACGGAAAGUUCCUCUACGCCGACCAAAGGGUGACUCUGGCGCUGGGCUACCUGCCCCACGAGCUGGUCGGUACCAGUAUAUACGAGCUGUGUCAUCCGGACGACAUCGCUCGUAUAGCCAAGACGCACCGCCACUGCCUGCAGUCGCCGGCCGACGAGACGCAGGUAUACAAGUUUCGAGUGAAGAACAACUCCUUCGUAACAGUGCGGACGAAGUGGAAAGCGUUCAAAAACCCGUGGACGAAGGAGUUGGAGUAUAUUUCAGCAUCAAAUCAAAUCAUGAACCCGAGUCCGUCUCGGCCUGGCGGCUCCCGCAGUUCACGGGACCCCGUCCAGGACGAUCUGCUGCGCGGAUUCUCCCCUCUGAACCUGGACGGCUCCGAAACAGGUGGCUCAAUAUCGGGGGAGACGGCUUACAAGUUUGAUAGCAUCAGCGCGAGCAAGAUCGGACGGCGGAUUGCGGACGAGGUGCUGGACAGUAGUCGGCGGCCGUCUCCCUCCCUGACCUCCGCCAGCCCCGCCUCGAACGUCGAAACGCUGCUGGAGAACAUCAGGGAAAACUCCAACUCGGGUUCGACGCUCUUCGACACCGUAAGCCGGGACGACGAGCUGCUGAGCAGCCAGCAGCUGCUGACGGAGGUGAUGCAGGACCGCGACCCCGCCUCGGAGGAGGGCGCCGGCGGAGGCGUGUCGCCGGCCGGCCGGCCUCCCCCUCCCCCGCCGCAGCCGCUGCCGCCUGCGCUGCACGGCCGGAACGGGCUGCCGGGCCCGGCCGAGGCGGCGCAGAGUCCGGCGGCCGCGGACGCGCAGGAGGACGAGGCAGCCAUGGCCGUCAUCAUGUCACUGCUGGAGGCGGACGCCGGUCUCGGCGGACCGGUCGACUUCACCGGACUGCCCUGGCCGCUGCCCUAGACGGAGUGGAGGGUGGCGGUCGACCGAGCUGCGCUGGCGACAGAGGGUCAGUCCACAGCGGCCCAGCUGCCCCGGCGGUGAGCGCGCUAGUUGUUGCAUUGUGACGGCAUUACCACGUGACGUUACCUGCCCGUGAGUCACUGCAGUUACACCACGGUGCCAGGGCCAGCGCUCUGGAGUCUGGCACUCAAUCACUCAGGCGGCAAACGACAAUCAAAUGGCCCGUCCGUCGGUCGCCGGUAGACUGUGGAGCCGCACGCGCAGAUUAUUAUUAUGAGCUCGUGGAGGGUUCGGGCGAUGACCUCAUCUGGCGUCCCCCGCAGUCCUGGGUUAUUGCCAGCAGGGCCCGGGGAGGUAUUGUUGUCUUUCGAUAGGCAUGUGUCGUGUGCUAGCGGUGUGAUUGUGCGCGCAGUGACGGAGGAUAGCGCCCGGUCUGGUUAGUGGGAGCGUAUCGGUUAUGGUUUAGGUCCGCGUAGUGAUGUUUGGUGGCAUUCGGGGGAUGGUGCCGUCAGUCCAAUCGUGAUCAGAGUAUUUAUUGAGCAGCUUUUAGGGGAGCACCAUCUCAUUUUAUGAUGAGUCACUUUAUUUUGGUCAGAUUACCGAAACAAAGGUGCAGUGAACCCGACGCCAAAUUGCUAUCCAAUUUGCGACAGGAAGCUGCAUAGCAGUUUUUACGGGAUUAAAUAUAUCGUCCUUUUGAAAAAAAGGAAUCAAAUAUGUAUUGAGAUAUUGUAGUGCAUAUUUGUUACUGCUUAUCCAUAUGCGGGACGCAUGCAUACUCCGCUUCAAUUAUUCGGUCUUCUAAUUAAGCAGCCUUUUAUUGUGCUGCCAUUUUAGUCAACUUUUCUUCUUUGUUUUGAUAUUUCGCCGCCAAGUCGCAAACAGGUUUAGAUAAUCCGUAAAACAAAUCGAGUAUAUGGGGAGAACGUGCUAUAUUUAUCUGUACCACACAUGGUCAUAGGCAAUCGAUUCUAGCGUCUUUAAUCGUAUGUGAAACAUAAGAUACUUUAUACCUGUCGGCACCGUUUCGGCUAUUCGUGGAAAGUUUGUCGCCAUUCGAUAGACAUGGACUGGUCAUAGUCCAUCAUUUUGAGGAAGUGAUACGAUAGGAUCCGCCGGCCGUUUCGCCUGGUCCUCUACUGGAACGGCGUGAUCGCAGGGCCCGGGGCCCGAUGCCAUUGCUCAGCUGGGGCGGUACGUAGUCUGUAGUUCAAACUCGGGCGGGUGCUCGCGCUUUCAUUGUAGUGCAGUGUCCGCGGUGGCCAGGGCCUCGGACGGCAGUUCCGUGUAUUGGUUCCAGUGGUCCGUCCUCACGGACAAAUCCGGCUCAUCGGAGCACCUCAGCCAGUCGUCGGGCAACCAACCAGAUUCUAUUUUUGCCGGCAGCUGGGAAAACGCCACAUGUGAUCGCUCCGUGCUCAGAAAGUCAAUCUUCCCAGGUUCGCGGGCUGAGCUCAGACUGGUAGGCCUCGGUGCGGGUCGGAGGGCAUUGCCACCGGAACUUUGACGCGGGUCGGCACGGAUAGCGGCCUGACUAGGAGUUCCCCUCCGAGUUUCGGAAGGGACGCGCUGUGUCUCUUCAGACGGGUUCCGAAACGGGGUAAGACAUGUGGACCUCCCUAAUACAUUCAUAGACGGGUGUUACUGUACACCCUUUCAGAGAUGGGUGUCAAACUCGUCACAAGCUAUAUCAAACCGGCUGGGACGGCGUUGUGUUCGAGGGAGCACCGCCGGACUCGCAGAGCUGACUCAAUAGAUAGAUUUACGGUGGUAGCUAGGUGAAGCGAAUCGUCACUACGGGGACUGCUGUGGCAGUGACAAGAGACUGUCUCCGCGGGCCCGUGCAGCCACUGUUGUUUGUAAACAGAUCAAUCCAGUGUGGGGAGGGUGACGCGGGGUAGCGCCGACCGGUGUCGGGCAGCUGGGGAUAUGAGCGGACGAGUGGCCGGGGUGUCUAUACCAACGUACCUGCCGGUGGCGAGUGCCGAGCCGACUGUGAGAGUCGUGGGCGCGCCACAGAGGGUUCCACGCUCGCAGCUGGCCGCGCGGCAGUGACACAGCGCGACGUAUAUUUUAUCUUGUUAUCAUCCGAUCGAUGUCCAUGUACUCUGCGUUGAUACUGGCGGGGCGGCCACCGUGCAAUGUAUGUAUGUCUGUCUGUGUCGUACACACGCCAUGUUAAUCGUACCGGUCGCUGUUGGCUGUUCAUGUGCGCAUUUUGAGCUAGCCAUGGUCAGUGGAGUGUGCAAUAUUUUGUCGCAUUUGGUUGAUGUCUGCGCGCCUGCCGGGACGGGUGCGCGCUCGGCGCCCCCGCGCGUGCUCGCCAGUCGUUUCCACGGGUGGGUGGGCUCCUCUGAUCCGGGUGCUCCUCUUAGUAUGCUAAUUUCCUGUCAUUUUUUUUCCAACCACCAGCUACCGAACCAACCUGGUGCUUCAACUUCCUCUCCUUCAGCUCUGACUGGUCAGAUCCAGGGAGUCCGGGAGGCAGUGUCGACUCCGACGUCCUGGCCAAGACCCAAGUCCGGCGCACCAAGUAAGCAUUGGCCUUUCCCGCCGUCUGUUCCCUGAAUCUCUCUCAAUCUCUUACUUUGCCCUGGUCCUAGCCCUACUUAAGGCAUUUGGUCCCACUUAUCACCCCUCCCGCUGCCCCGUCCACCACUCCUUCCAAACGUCCCCAAUGUCGCAUCCAGCUGAUCGUUUUCCCGAGUGCCCUGUCGAUGUACAUUUGUGACAACUGACAUCUGUCUCGAAUGAGCCAUGGACAGGCUGUUUCUUAUCUAUUCCUGUCCUUUUCAGCAACUACCGUUGUGAACCAGCCUAAACGAUUUCGCCUCUGCUUCCGCCCUUUUGAUGACCUGGCGCCUUCGUUCAAUUAUUUCAAGCUGGUACUGGAUUCCACCUCCUCGCGCCUCUGAUACGAACACAUACACCUUCAUACCAAACUAUCCAAUACCGUACAGACUAUCCAUAAGAUUGCCUUGUCGGGUUCGAUGCUGCGUACCGUUAUCCGGCCGUCCGGUCCUCUCCGGGUAAUCUGACCUGUCUCCGGAGGAGUCGCUGACCUGGUGACUAGACCUGGGGGAGGGGACUGGAGCGCGGCACGACACUUGCCGGUAGGGCGUGAGCUGUGGUCGGGAGGCCAAUAUACGUGCCAUGCUGUGUGCAGAGA
This 5187-nucleotide unclassified non-coding RNA is filed under the name Amphibalanus amphitrite. Its description in RNAcentral is "protein cycle-like, transcript variant X3". The record is from RNAcentral. Lineage: Eukaryota; Metazoa; Arthropoda; Thecostraca; Balanomorpha; Balanidae.